UAGGGAAUUUUCGGCAAUGGGCGAAAGCCUGACCGAGCAAUGCCGCGUGAACGAAGAAGGUCUUCGGACUGUAAAGUUCUGUUAUAGAGGAAGAAAGAUAUAUAGAGGAAAUGCUAUAUAUUUGACGGUACUUUAUGAGGAAGCCCCGGCUAACUAUGUGCCAGCAGCCGCGGUAAUACAUAGGGGGCAAGCGUUAUCCGGAAUUAUUGGGCGUAAAGGGUGCGUAGGCGGCUGAUUAAGUCUGGUGUGAAAUUUCACGGCUUAACCGUGAAGGGUCAUUGGAAACUGAUUGGCUUGAAUACAGAAGAGGUAAGUGGAAUUCCAUGUGUAGCGGUAAAAUGCUUAGAUAUAUGGAGGAACACCAGUGGCGAAGGCGGCUUACUGGUCUGUCAUUGACGCUGAUGCACGAAAGCGUGGGUAGCAAACAGG
RNAcentral lists this ribosomal RNA (429 nucleotides) under uncultured bacterium. RNAcentral describes it as "bacterial SSU rRNA". It matches the Rfam family "Bacterial small subunit ribosomal RNA", at positions 355 to 776 of the family's 1533-position model. The record is from RNAcentral.